UYUAGCUGUCACUUAUAGAUGGGCCCGCGGCGCAUUAGCUAGUUGGUGAGGUAAUGGCUCACCAAGGCGACGAUGCGUAGCCGACCUGAGAGGGUGAUCGGCCACACUGGGAGAGUGACACGGCCCAGACCUGUACGGGAGACUGGGGUAGGGAAUGGAAACCAAUGGUAAAAAGUCUGACGGAGUUUUCCCGCAUGAACGAAGAAGGCAAUCGGGUYGUAAAGUUCUGUUGUUAGGGAAGAACAAGUACCAGAGUAACUGCUGGUACCUUGACGGUACCUAACCAGAAAGCC
RNAcentral lists this ribosomal RNA (293 nucleotides) under Peribacillus muralis. Its description in RNAcentral is "Bacillus muralis partial 16S ribosomal RNA". It matches the Rfam family "Bacterial small subunit ribosomal RNA", at positions 207 to 492 of the family's 1533-position model. The record is from RNAcentral. Lineage: Bacteria; Bacillati; Bacillota; Bacilli; Caryophanales; Bacillaceae.